This 361-nucleotide transfer-messenger RNA is filed under the name human gut metagenome. It matches the Rfam family "transfer-messenger RNA". Rfam says of the family: Bacterial tmRNA, also known as 10Sa RNA or SsrA, is named for its dual tRNA and mRNA-like properties. The record is from RNAcentral.
GGGGGUGUACCGGAUUCGACUGGUCAGGCUCGGGGUUGAUUGCAUGUCGAGGAUGAUCGUUGGCCUCGUAAAUCAUCGGUCAAACAAAUAACUGCGAACGAACAAGAGUUUGCUCUGGCUGCUUAAUUAAUGCGGCCGCGUGUUCUCUCCGACGGGUGUUAAGGGAGCAACACGUCAGCUAACGCCCUGGGUUGUAAAUUUUUUUCCUGUUUGCAGCUGAGAUACUAAGGGAAAUAGUCCGGAAGCCCGCAGGGUUGCCGGCUAAGCGGACGGACGAUAAGCCUUUAUCGGUAACCUAAACAUGUAGAAGUCAACUUCAAACUUCAUCAGCACGCGGGUUCAACUCCCGCCACCUCCACCA